GACGAACGCUGGCGGCGUGCUUAACACAUGCAAGUCGAACGGAAAGGCCCUGCUUUUGUGGGGUGCUCGAGUGGCGAACGGGUGAGUAACACGUGAGUAACCUGCCCUUGACUUUGGGAUAACUUCAGGAAACUGGGGCUAAUACCGGAUAGGAGCUCCUGCUGCAUGGUGGGGGUUGGAAAGUUUCGGCGGUUGGGGAUGGACUCGCGGCUUAUCAGCUUGUUGGUGGGGUAGUGGCUUACCAAGGCUUUGACGGGUAGCCGGGCUGAGAGGGUGACCGGCCAAGUUGGGACUGAACUGCGGCCCAGACUCCUACCGGAGGCAGCAGUGGGGAAUAUUGCACAAUGGGCGGAGGCCUGAUGCAGCGACGCCGCGUGCGGGGUGACGGCCUUCGGGUUGUAAACCGCUUUCGCCUGUGACGAAGCGUGAGUGACGGUAAUGGGUAAAGAAGCACCGGCUAACUACGUG
Molecule: ribosomal RNA, 468 nt
Filed under: uncultured bacterium
Lineage: Bacteria
Description: partial 16S ribosomal RNA
Rfam family: Bacterial small subunit ribosomal RNA
Source: RNAcentral